RNAcentral lists this ribosomal RNA (468 nucleotides) under uncultured bacterium. RNAcentral describes it as "partial 16S ribosomal RNA". It matches the Rfam family "Bacterial small subunit ribosomal RNA", at positions 28 to 507 of the family's 1533-position model. The record is from RNAcentral.
GACGAACGCUGGCGGCGUGCUUAACACAUGCAAGUCGAACGGAAAGGCCCUGCUUUUGUGGGGUGCUCGAGUGGCGAACGGGUGAGUAACACGUGAGUAACCUGCCCUUGACUUUGGGAUAACUUCAGGAAACUGGGGCUAAUACCGGAUAGGAGCUCCUGCUGCAUGGUGGGGGUUGGAAAGUUUCGGCGGUUGGGGAUGGACUCGCGGCUUAUCAGCUUGUUGGUGGGGUAGUGGCUUACCAAGGCUUUGACGGGUAGCCGGCCUGAGAGGGUGACCGGCCACAUUGGGACUGGGUUACGGCCCGGACUCCUACGGGAGGCAGCAUUGGGGAAUAUUGCACAAUGGGCGGAAGCCGGUUGCGGCAACGCCGCGUGCGGGAUGACGGCCUUCGGGUUGUAACCCGCUUUCGCCUGUGACGAAGCGUGAGUGACGGUAAUGGGUAAAGAAGCACCGGCUAACUACGUG